GUGGGAGCUGGGCCGGCUGCGCCGCGCGGGUGCGCGCCUCCGCGGAGCAUUACGGCGCCCAUUCCCGGCUCCCCGGCUCCGCCAGCGCUGAGGAGCGGACGCGCGGAGCCCCGCAGCGCGGCCAUGGCCGAGCGCCGCGCCUUCGCUCAGAAGAUCAGCAGAACGGUGGCUGCUGAAGUCAGGAAGCAGAUCUCAGGACAGUAUGGAGGGUCUCCCCAGCUCCUCAAAAACCUCAAUAUUGGAGGCAGCGUCUCUCAUCAUACAACCGUGCCGCUUACAGAAGCGGUGGACCCGGUCGAUUUGGAGGACUACCUUAUCACACACCCCAUUGCCGUGGAGUCCGGACCCCUGAGAGACCUGCUCGAGUUUCCUCCCGAUGACAUCGAGGUCGUGUACACCCCCCGAGAAUGUCGAACGCUUGUGUCGGCUGUGCCUGAAGAGAGUGAGAUGGACCCUCACGUGAGGGACUGUGUGAGAAGUUACACAGAAGACUGGGCAAUUGUGAACAGAAAAUAUCACAAGCUGGGGACUGGAUUUAAUCCCAACACCUUAGACAAACAGAAGGAGAGGCAAAAGGGGCUCCCCAAACAGAUCUUUGAGUCUGACGAAGCUCCAGAUGGCAACAGUUAUCAGGAUGAACAAGAUGACCUUAAACGACGUUCAAUGUCGAUUGACGAUACUCCCCGGGGCAGCUGGGCAUGCAGUAUUUUUGAUCUGAAGAACUCCCUUCCAGAUGCCCUUCUCCCAAACCUCCUGGACCGAACCCCAAACGAAGAGAUCGACCACCACAAUGAAGACCAGAGGAAGUCCAGCAGGCAUAAGGAGCUUUUUGCACUACAUCCAGCACCAGAUGAGGAGGAGCCUAUUGAACGACUUAGUGUCCCUGAAGUACCCAAAGAACACUUUGGCCAAAGACUCCUUGUGAAGUGUUUGUCCCUUAAAUUCGAAAUAGAAAUUGAGCCCAUUUUUGCAAGUUUGGCUUUGUAUGAUGUUAAAGAAAAGAAAAAGAUUUCAGAAAAUUUCUACUUUGAUUUAAACUCUGAACAAAUGAAGGGAAUGCUUCGUCCCCAUGUCCCCCCUGCUGCUAUAUCCACACUGGCCAGAUCUGCGAUCUUUUCCAUCACUUAUCCCUCUCAAGAUGUCUUUCUGGUAAUUAAGCUGGAAAAAGUAUUACAGCAGGGAGAUAUUGGGGAGUGUGCAGAGCCUUAUAUGAUUUUUAAAGAAUCUGAUGCAGCAAAGAAUAAGGAAAAGUUGGAAAAACUGAAAUGCCAGGCAGAACAGUUUUGCCAAAGACUGGGCAAGUAUCGAAUGCCGUUUGCCUGGACGGCCAUUCAUUUAAUGAACAUCGUGAGCAGCGCCGGAAGUUUGGAAAGAGAUUCCACGGAAGGUGAAGUUGGCACAGGAGAACGUAAAGGAUCGUGGUCAGAGAGACGGAAUUCCAGUAUUGUUGGGAGGCGUUCGUUAGAGAGAACCACAAGUGGGGAUGAGGCUUGCAACUUGACCAGUUUUAGACCAGCUACUCUGACAGUGACAAACUUCUUCAAACAGGAGGGUGAUCGCCUGAGCGAUGAGGAUUUGUACAAGUUCCUUGCUGACAUGAGGCGGCCGUCUUCGGUGUUACGGAGACUGAGACCUAUCACAGCUCAAUUAAAGAUAGACAUAUCCCCAGCUCCAGAGAAUCCCCAUUACUGUCUAACUCCGGAGUUGCUGCAAGUCAAACUUUACCCAGACAGCAGAGUUCGGCCUACGAGAGAAAUCCUGGAGUUUCCUGCCAGGGAUGUCUACGUUCCAAAUACCACCUACAGGAAUCUUCUUUACGUCUACCCUCAGAGUCUUAACUUCGCCAACCGCCAAGGAUCUGCGAGGAACAUCACUGUAAAGGUCCAGUUCAUGUAUGGAGAGGACACCAGCAACGCGAUGCCGGUCAUCUUUGGCAAAUCAAGCUGUCCUGAAUUUUCCAAAGAAGCGUACACAGCUGUGGUAUAUCACAACAGAUCGCCUGAUUUUCAUGAGGAAAUCAAGAUUAAGCUUCCAGCCACUUUAACUGAUCACCACCACCUGCUUUUCACCUUCUACCAUGUCAGCUGCCAGCAGAAACAAAACACUCCCCUGGAGACUCCAGUUGGAUACACUUGGAUACCAAUGCUUCAAAAUGGACGGUUAAAGACCGGUCAGUUCUGCCUCCCUGUUUCACUGGAAAAACCACCACAGGCUUAUUCAGUGCUGUCUCCAGAGGUUCCGCUCCCUGGGAUGAAGUGGGUGGAUAACCACAAAGGGGUUUUCAACGUAGAAGUUGUCGCUGUAUCGUCCCUCCACACUCAGGACCCUUACCUCGACAAGUUCUUUGCACUUGUCCAUGCUCUGGAUGAGCACAUGUUCCCUGUGCGAAUAGGAGAUAUGAGAAUUAUGGAAAACAACUUGGAAAAUGAACUGAAGAGCAGCAUUUCAGCUUUAAAUUCUUCUCAACUGGAGCCGGUAGUGCGAUUUCUUCAUCUCCUGCUUGACAAACUGAUUCUCCUGGUAGUAAGACCUCCUGUCAUUGCAGGCCAAAUAGUUAACCUGGGUCAAGCAUCUUUCGAAGCGAUGGCAUCCAUCAUAAACCGGCUUCACAAGAACUUGGAUGGGAACCAGGACCAGCACGGCAGAAACAGCCUUCUCGCUUCCUAUAUUUAUUAUGUUUUUCGCCUACCAAAUACCUAUCCCAACUCACCAUCACCAGGUCCUGGUGGCUUGGGGGGAUCGGUGCAUUACGCCACCAUGGCUCGAUCUGCCGUCCGACCAGCGAGCCUGAACUUGAACCGCUCGCGGAGCCUCAGCAACAGCAACCCAGACAUAUCUGGGACCCCCACCUCGCCGGACGAUGAAGUUCGCUCCAUCAUUGGCAGUAAGGGUUUAGACCGCUCCAAUUCCUGGGUAAACACUGGUGGUCCAAAAGCAGCCCCAUGGGGAUCCAACCCCAGCCCAAGUGCAGAGUCAACACAGGCUACGGAUCGAAGUUGUAAUCGUAUGUCUUCGCACACUGAGACGUCAAGUUUCUUACAAACAUUAACAGGACGAUUACCAACCAAAAAGCUUUUUCACGAAGAGCUGGCCUUACAGUGGGUUGUGUGCAGCGGGAGCGUGCGGGAGGCAGCCCUACAGCAAGCCUGGUUCUUCUUCGAGCUGAUGGUGAAGAGCAUGGUGCAUCAUUUGUAUUUUGCUGACAAACUGGAUGCGCCAAGAAAGAAUCGUUUUCCUGAGCGUUUCAUGGAUGAUGUAACUGCUUUGGUCAGCACAAUUGCCGGUGAUAUAGUCUCUCGGUUUCAGAAGGAUACAGAAAUGGUUGAAAGGCUCAACACCAGUCUUGCGUUUUUCCUCAAUGACCUGUUGUCUAUCAUGGACAGAGGAUUUGUUUUCGUUCUUAUUAAGACUUGCUACAAACAGGUGUCUUCAAAGCUGUAUUCCUUAACAAAUCCAAGUAACCUGGCGUCUCUGAGGCUGGACUUCCUUCGCAUCAUUUGCAGCCACGAACACUACGUUACCUUGAACUUACCCUGCAGCUUGCUCACACCGCCUGCAUCUCCAUCACCGUCUGUGUCUUCAGCAACUUCUCAGAGUUCUGGAUUCUCCACAAAUGUCCAAGACCAGAAGAUUGCAAAUAUGUUUGAAUUGUCUGUGCCUUUCCGCCAACAGCAUUACUUGGCCGGGCUUGUAUUGACAGAACUAGCUGUCAUUUUAGAUCCUGAUGCAGAAGGUUUAUUUGGAUUGCAUAAGAAGGUCAUCAAUAUGGUACACAAUUUACUGUCCAGUCAUGACUCGGAUCCGCGGUACGCUGACCCGCAGGUAAAGGCCCGGGUGGCAAUGCUGUAUCUACCUCUGAUUGGCGUGAUCAUGGAAGCCGUGCCUCAGCUUUAUGACUUUACAGAGAGUCACAACCAGCGAGGGAGGCCGAGCUGCGUUGCUGUCGAUGAUUACGAAAGCGAGGGUGGAAGCAUGAUAAGCCAGACAGUUGCCAUGGCCAUCGCAGGAACGUCGGUGCCUCAGCUCACCCGGCCCAGCAGUUUUCUACACACCUCGUCGAGUGGCAGGCAGCACUCCACCUUCUCAACAGAGUCCAGCCGCAGCCUCCUGAUCUGUCUCUUGUGGGUGCUCAAGAACGCAGAUGAAAGCGUCUUGCAGAAAUGGUUCACAGACCUCUCAGUGUUGCAGCUCAAUCGCCUGCUGGAUUUGCUUUAUCUUUGCGUAUCCUGCUUUGAAUACAAGGGCAAGAAGGUGUUUGAAAGAAUGAAUAGUCUGACAUUCAAGAAGUCAAAAGACAUGAGAGCCAAACUUGAAGAAGCUAUUUUGGGAAGCAUAGGGGCAAGACAGGAAAUGGUCCGAAGAAGCAGAGGACAGCUGGAGAGAAGUCCUUCUGGGAGCGCGUUUGGAAGUCAAGAAAAUUUGAGAUGGAGAAAGGAUAUGACUCACUGGCGUCAAAACACAGAAAAGCUUGACAAAAGCCACAAACCAGCCAGAUCAAGGGCAGAGAUAGAACAUGAGGCACUUAUCGAUGGAAAUCUUGCAACAGAAGCGAAUCUGAUUAUUUUGGAUACACUAGAGAUAGUUGUACAGACGGUUUCUGUGACGGAGUCCAAAGAGAGCAUCCUUGGCGGGGUGCUGAAGGUUCUUCUGCACAGCAUGGCCUGCAACCAAAGUGCACUUUAUCUCCAACACUGCUUCGCCACACAGAGGGCUUUGGUUUCAAAGUUCCCAGAGCUGCUGUUUGAAGAAGAGACGGAGCAGUGUGCGGAUCUGUGCCUGCGGCUCCUGCGACACUGUAGCAGCAGUAUCAGCACGAUACGGUCACACGCCAGUGCCUCACUUUACCUCCUCAUGAGGCAAAACUUUGAGAUUGGGAACAACUUUGCCAGGGUGAAAAUGCAGGUGACCAUGUCUCUCUCAUCCCUGGUGGGGACAUCCCAGAACUUCAAUGAGGAAUUUUUGCGACGUUCCCUGAAGACUAUUUUGACAUAUGCUGAAGAAGAUCUGGAACUUAGGGAGACAACAUUUCCUGAUCAGGUUCAGGAUUUAGUGUUCAACCUCCAUAUGAUCCUCUCUGACACAGUGAAAAUGAAGGAGCACCAGGAAGAUCCAGAAAUGCUGAUUGACUUGAUGUACAGGAUUGCGAAGGGCUAUCAGAACUCCCCUGACCUGCGCCUGACAUGGCUGCAGAACAUGGCUGGAAAGCACUCGGAGAGGAGCAACCACGCCGAGUCAGCCCAGUGCCUGGUCCACUCCGCAGCCUUGGUGGCUGAAUAUCUCAGCAUGCUGGAAGACCGAAAAUACCUCCCUGUAGGGUGUGUUACAUUUCAGAACAUAUCUUCUAAUGUUUUGGAAGAGUCAGCAGUUUCUGAUGAUGUUGUAUCACCAGACGAAGAAGGUAUCUGUUCUGGAAAGUAUUUUACAGAAGCUGGUCUGGUGGGAUUGCUGGAACAGGCUGCAGCGUCUUUCUCCAUGGCUGGCAUGUAUGAAGCAGUUAAUGAGGUUUACAAAGUCCUUAUUCCUAUCCACGAAGCUAACAGAGAUGCCAAGAAGCUGUCUACUAUUCAUGGUAAACUCCAAGAAGCAUUCAGCAAGAUAGUUCACCAGAGUACUGGCUGGGAGGUAGGUAACUCCGUUCUAGUUAGUAAAGAACACUAAUAGAUUUUUCAGAUGACUCACGCCAAUGCUUGCCCACAUGUGCUAGUUGUGGGUAUUUCUGUUGCUGUCUGCUGUUAAAACAAUUCAUUAACCAAAGAAAUACCAAUAAAGCGAUUGUGGUUGUAGUAGGAAAUUCUUCAUAAGAAGCUCUAGGUAGUGCAUGGAUGCUGACGUGUUCCACUAAUGAGGUUCUUUGGUGAAUGAGCCACUGUAUCAUCACUAGUUUGUUUUUAUAAUUUGUUUAUAUUUCUUUUCAUCAGCAUUGACACAGAAAAUCAUCCCUUCAUACCAUAUUUUCACCCCACCCACAGGGGUCGAUUUAAGCAAUAAUGCUCAGAGGUACUGAAACACAAAACUUGUUUCCUGCACGUACAGACCGUAUCUCGGAGAACGGGCUGCUUCAUUCUGCUCAUUUAAGAGCAAUCAGUUCAUUAAGUAGCGGUUAUCUGGCAGUGAAAUGGCUCAGUUGUGUUAACUGGAGUCAGUUUUUCUGCUUUCGUUUUUGUCAAGGCUGUUGACUCAUGUUUCUACAACAUACACCACGAGAACCACACAAUUGGAUUAAAGAUGGGCAAAGCCGUCGGCUUCAUCCGCAGCAGAGAGAGUUUGGUAACUCAGGCCCUCGCCCAGUCAACACAGCAGGCACAUGAGCAUCCAGAAGUCUCAGAAGACAUUGUAAAUGUUUUGUGAAGAUAAUGUUACAUUAUUUGCUUAGACUUCAGCUGUCCAGUUAAUCUCUGCUCUUCUGUGAAUUAGGCAGCUCAGCAUGGGCCAUCUCCCUCCAUGUUUCCACCGCGGGAACCACGCUUCCCAAACUGGGGCUAAGAACAAAAUUCUUUUGCAUUGUGUGAUGUAAAUAAUUUGGGGAGAUGAUAUCUGAAUAUCAGUUUUAGUUCCAGCCUAGCAAGAAAUUAAGUCUGGUAGUUUAAAAGUAAUCCAGAGAACGUGUGGUAAGGAGUGUAAAUGAUCUGUGUCCAAUAGCCAACAAAUGUGAAGGCCUGUGAGCAUCUAUUUUGAUUAGUCUGUCCCUAAAUCGACCCCUGAAGAAAAUCCUGUCAUUGGUUAUGAUUCUAACAUCACUCAGUCACGUUUUACUGCAUGGUAAAAGACACCCAUGGUUUCUGUUCUCAUCUGUUGUCGUGCUCCUUCAUGGCCACACUUUUUCUGAUCUUUGUGCUUUGUAGCUUUCAGAUUUGUUGCAUGUUUUGCCCUUUUUCCUUGUUUUAAAUACUUUAAUGGAUGCUCACCCUAUUUUUAUUUUAGAGUUUAUUUGCUGCCAAUUUGCUGCUUGUUUGUUUUUUGGAAUUUCCCUAAUUAAAUACUUUCUGUUUUCUCCUCUGUCGCCCUGGUUGCUGACCCUCCUCCCCACUCUUACUAUUGUCUGUUGUGGAUGGAAAGAGGAUGUUUGGCACCUACUUCCGGGUUGGUUUUUAUGGAACUAAAUUUGGAGACCUGGAUGAGCAAGAGUUUGUUUACAAGGAACCCGCGAUCACCAAGUUAGCUGAGAUUUCCCAUAGGCUGGAGGGAUUUUAUGGAGAACGGUUUGGUGAAGAUGUGCUUGAAGUGAUUAAGGACUCAAACCCUGUGGACAAAUGUAAACUAGAUCCUAACAAGGCCUACAUUCAGAUAACCUACGUGGAGCCGUACUUCGACACGUACGAGAUGAAGGACAGGAUAACUUACUUCGACAAGAACUACAACUUGCGGCGUUUCAUGUACUGCACGCCCUUCACGCUGGACGGCCGGGCUCACGGGGAGCUGCACGAGCAGUUCAAGCGCAAAACCAUCCUGACGACGUCCCAUGCUUUCCCAUACAUUAAAACCAGGAUAAACGUCAUUCACAAAGAGGAGAUCAUUUUGACGCCCAUUGAAGUUGCCAUAGAGGACAUGCAGAAGAAAACACAGGAACUGGCUUUUGCAACCCACCAAGACCCCGCGGACCCAAAGAUGCUGCAGAUGGUGCUGCAAGGAUCAGUAGGUACCACAGUAAAUCAGGGACCAUUAGAAGUUGCACAAGUUUUCUUGUCUGAAAUACCCAAUGAUCCAAAGCUCUUCAGACAUCACAACAAGCUACGGCUCUGUUUCAAAGACUUCACGAAAAGAUGUGAAGAUGCUCUGCGCAAGAACAAGAGCCUGAUCGGUCCAGACCAAAAGGAGUAUCAGCGAGAACUUGAAAGGAAUUAUCACCGGUUAAAGGAAGCUCUCCAGCCUUUGAUAAACAGAAAGAUCCCUCAGUUGUAUAAGGCAGUGCUGCCGGUCACUUGUCACAGAGACUCCUUCAGCAGGAUGAGCCUUCGCAAAAUGGAUAUCUAAACAAGUUAAGAGCCAAAAUAAAAAAAGCACUUAAAAGUAAGGUUUUGAAAAGAAAGAGCCUUGUUAUCAGCGCUGGGAAUCAAAGAAGUUUUAUUGUGAAAUAAAACUUGGACUUCAUCCUGGACAUCCCACACACCUCUUCCUCCAUCAAAGUGUUCAGUGGCCAAAAAUCAUUCUGAAUUGUCAAAUGUAGACUUAUCAAUGUUUGGAAAAAAAAUCAUGGCAGUGGUAUCUGGAGUAUUUGUGAUAAGCUGUAAACUUACCUGUUUUUUAAGGCAUUUUUAUGACUCAAAGGUACACUAAACGCAUUUACCUUUAUUUAUAGCAUUACCUAAUGUUAUUUACUUUUAGUUCAUAUAUUUAAUUUAUAUUAGGACCAUACGCAAAUGCAUUUUUGAAGUUUUUAAUGUAGUGAUGAUGGUUAUUUUGAUGGUACUAUUAAAUAUGUGAAUGUUUACACUUUAA
RNA transcript from Columba livia (rock pigeon), 8436 nucleotides. It is a transcript of the gene named dedicator of cytokinesis 7, with no coding region annotated. The transcript is spliced from 51 exons. The record is from RefSeq and is a predicted model, not a curated record. NCBI's taxonomy places the organism in Eukaryota, Metazoa, Chordata, Aves, Columbiformes, Columbidae.